Molecule: ribosomal RNA, 502 nt
Filed under: Acrobeloides maximus
Lineage: Eukaryota; Metazoa; Nematoda; Chromadorea; Rhabditida; Cephalobidae
Description: SSU rRNA
Rfam family: Eukaryotic small subunit ribosomal RNA
Source: RNAcentral
CGCGAAUGGCUCAUUACAACAGCUAUAAUUUACUUGAUCUUGACUUCCUACUUGGAUAACUGUGGUAAUUCUAGAGCUAAUACAUGCACCAAAGCUCCGACCUUACGGGAAGAGCGCAUUUAUUCGAACAAAACCAAGCGGCUUCGGCCGUCCGCAGUUGACUCAGAAUAACUAAGCUGAUCGCAUGGUCUUGCACCGGCGACGUGUCUUUCAAGUAUCUGCCGUAUCAACUUUCGAUGGUAGUGUAUCUGACUACCAUGGUGAUCACGCGUAACGGAGAAUAAGGGUUCGACUCCGGAGAGUUCGCCUGAGAAAUCGCGAACACAUCUAAGGAAGGCAGCAGGCGCGAAAAUUACCCACUCUCAGCACGAGGAGGUAGUGACGAAAAAUAACGAGACCGUUCUCUUAUGAGGCCGGUCAUCGGAAUGGGUACAAUUUAAACCCUUUAACGAGUAUCUAUGAGAGGGCAAGUCUGGUGCCAGCAGCCGCGGUAAUUCCAGCU